Molecule: ribosomal RNA, 879 nt
Filed under: uncultured bacterium
Lineage: Bacteria
Description: bacterial SSU rRNA
Rfam family: Bacterial small subunit ribosomal RNA
Source: RNAcentral
UCAGGACGAACGCUGGCGGCGCGCCUAACACAUGCAAGUCGAACGAGCGAGAGAGAGCUUGCUUUCUCGAGCGAGUGGCGAACGGGUGAGUAACGCGUGAGGAACCUGCCUCAAAGAGGGGGACAACAGUUGGAAACGACUGCUAAUACCGCAUAAGCCCACGGCUCGGCAUCGAGCAGGGGGAAAAGGAGCAAUCCGCUUUGAGAUGGCCUCGCGUCCGAUUAGCUAGUUGGUGAGGUAACGGCCCACCAAGGCGACGAUCGGUAGCCGGACUGAGAGGUUGAACGGCCACAUUGGGACUGAGACACGGCCCAGACUCCUACGGGAGGCAGCAGUGGGGAAUAUUGCACAAUGGGGGAAACCCUGAUGCAGCGACGCCGCGUGGAGGAAGAAGGUCUUCGGAUUGUAAACUCCUGUUGUUGGGGAAGAUAAUGACGGUACCCAACAAGGAAGUGACGGCUAACUACGUGCCAGCAGCCGCGGUAAAACGUAGGUCACAAGCGUUGUCCGGAAUUACUGGGUGUAAAGGGAGCGCAGGCGGGAAGACAAGUUGGAAGUGAAAUCUAUGGGCUCAACCCAUAAACUGCUUUCAAAACUGUUUUUCUUGAGUAGUGCAGAGGUAGGCGGAAUUCCCGGUGUAGCGGUGGAAUGCGUAGAUAUCGGGAGGAACACCAGUGGCGAAGGCGGCCUACUGGGCACCAACUGACGCUGAGGCUCGAAAGUGUGGGUAGCAAACAGGAUUAGAUACCCUGGUAGUCCACACCGUAAACGAUGAUUACUAGGUGUUGGAGGAUUGACCCCUUCAGUGCCGCAGUUAACACAAUAAGUAAUCCACCUGGGGAGUACGACCGCAAGGUUGAAACUCAAAGGAAUUGACGG